RNAcentral lists this unclassified non-coding RNA (220 nucleotides) under uncultured Actinomycetes bacterium. RNAcentral describes it as "uncultured actinobacterium contains 16S-23S intergenic spacer region". It matches the Rfam family "Bacterial small subunit ribosomal RNA", at positions 976 to 1196 of the family's 1533-position model. Lineage: Bacteria; Bacillati; Actinomycetota; Actinomycetes. The record is from RNAcentral.
UGGGUUUGACAUAUACCGGAAAGCCGUAGAGAUACGGCCCCCCUUGUGGUCGGUAUACAGGUGGUGCAUGGCUGUCGUCAGCUCGUGUCGUGAGAUGUUGGGUUAAGUCCCGCAACGAGCGCAACCCUUGUCCUAUGUUGCCAGCACGUAAUGGUGGGGACUCGUGGGAGACUGCCGGGGUCAACUCGGAGGAAGGUGGGGAUGACGUUUACCGACAGCU